AUGGAUUUACAGACUGAGGCAAGCAUCAUGAAGAUGAGCAGGCGAGUGGCUGAUACAGAGAGCUCCUCGAACAGGGAAGUAGCAUUGCUGGAGGAACUCGAAGAUGAGCUGGUACCGAAGUCAUGCAUUUGCCUUACUAUUGUGCUGAUACUGGGUGCAACAUUGUGGACCUUUGGUUCGAGAAUGGCCAGCAUGGCCAUGGAAUGUAGGAGAGGAAUGUAUUGCCUAAUGAGUUUCGGAUCCUCUGUGCUUCCUAUCACAUAUGGCUUGGCCACCUACAGAUUCUUGGGUCUAGUUCCUGAUCUGAAGCGGAGGGAACAUGAGGUCACAUCCGCAAAGUGGCGGAAGGGGGCUGCAACGUUUUUCUUCAGUCUGGUAAUCAUAUAG
This 387-nucleotide ribosomal RNA is filed under the name Triticum aestivum (bread wheat). RNAcentral describes it as "partial small subunit ribosomal RNA". The record is from RNAcentral. Lineage: Eukaryota; Viridiplantae; Streptophyta; Magnoliopsida; Poales; Poaceae.